Polyporus arcularius HHB13444 is the source of this 82-nucleotide non-coding RNA. The record is from the annotation of a GenBank genome assembly. Lineage: Eukaryota; Fungi; Basidiomycota; Agaricomycetes; Polyporales; Polyporaceae.
GGCAUUAUGGCCCAGUUGGUAGAGUGCUUGUGUAUUUCUAGCCAUUUUGGUGGGUGCCCGAGUUCAAUACUGGCUGGUGCCG